AUGGAGAAGGAGCUGAUGGCCUGUCUCAGCUUAUCCACUGUCUCGCUGAACAAACAGGCAGGCCUACCUGAUCAUCCCAGCUCCCCCAGGAGAUGUUCAAACUGCCCACCACUGUGUCAGAGCCCGAGAGGAGAGAGAGGCUGGGCUGCCCCAGGAUCUGGAAGCAGCUCCCAUGGGGCCAGUCUGCAGCGGCCAGCGAGCAGAGACUCAGCUCAAGAAAGAAAUGCUGGAGAAGAAACCCUCACUUUAUACCUGACAAUCGCUGAAGUCUUUUCUAUUAAAUGGAAUGUGUGCUUAUGCCAUUUAUAUCUUGGUGCAUUAUUUUUCUGUUUCUAGACGUUCUAGGACAGUCUCCUUAUCUGAAUUUGAAAUAAACUUUAUUUUGCCUUUCAUGUCC
This 397-nucleotide long non-coding RNA is filed under the name Fukomys damarensis (Damara mole-rat). RNAcentral's name for it is "lncRNA (ENSFDAG00000024916.1)". Lineage: Eukaryota; Metazoa; Chordata; Mammalia; Rodentia; Bathyergidae. The record is from RNAcentral.